AGGACGAACGCUGGCGGCGUGCCUAACACAUGCAAGUGGAGCGACGAACCGGGCUUCGGCCCGGGGCAAAGCCGCGAACGGGUGAGUAACACGUGGGCAACCCACCCUUGGUACCGGGAUAGCCCGAGGAAACUCGGAUUAAUACCGGAUGGCCCAGCAGCUCUUCGGGGCGGCUGGAAAAGGUAGCUUCGGCCUCCGACCAAGGACGGGCCCGCGGCGGAUUAGCUUGUUGGUGAGGUAACGGCUCACCAAGGCGACGAUCCGUAGCUGGUCUGAGAGGACGAUCAGCCACACUGGGACUGAGACACGGCCCAGACUCCUACGGGAGGCAGCAGUGGGGAAUCUUGCGCAAUGGGCGAAAGCCUGACGCAGCGACGCCGCGUGGGGGAAGAAGGCUUUCGGGUUGUAAACCCCUUUCAGGAGAGACGAAGCUACUCGGGUUAAUAGCCCAGAGGGUGACGGUAUCUUCAGAAGAAGCCCCGGCUAACUACGCGCCAGCAGCCGCGGU
Molecule: ribosomal RNA, 508 nt
Filed under: uncultured bacterium
Lineage: Bacteria
Description: SSU rRNA
Rfam family: Bacterial small subunit ribosomal RNA
Source: RNAcentral